This 484-nucleotide ribosomal RNA is filed under the name uncultured bacterium. Its description in RNAcentral is "partial 16S ribosomal RNA". It matches the Rfam family "Bacterial small subunit ribosomal RNA", at positions 30 to 507 of the family's 1533-position model. The record is from RNAcentral.
AUUGAACGCUGGCGGCAGGCCUAACACAUGCAAGUCGAGCGGAUGAAGGGAGCUUGCUCCUGGAUUCAGCGGCGGACGGGUGAGUAAUGCCUAGGAAUCUGCCUGGUAGUGGGGGAUAACGUCCGGAAACGGGCGCUAAUACCGCAUACGUCCUGAGGGAGAAAGUGGGGGAUCUUCGGACCUCACGCUAUCAGAUGAGCCUAGGUCGGAUUAGCUAGUUGGUGGGGUAAAGGCCUGCCAAGGCGACGAUCCGUAACUGGUCUGAGAGGAUGAUCAGUCACACUGGAACUGAGACACGGUCCAGACUCCUACGGGAGGCAGCAGUGGGGAAUAUUGGACAAUGGGCGAAAGCCUGAUCCAGCCAUGCCGCGUGUAUGAAGAAGGUCUUCGGAUUGUAAAGCACUUUAAGUUGGGAGGAAGGGCAGUAAGUUAAUACCUUGCUGUUUUGACGUUACCAACAGAAUAAGCACCGGCUAACUUCGUG